Molecule: microRNA, 21 nt
Filed under: Pongo abelii (Sumatran orangutan)
Lineage: Eukaryota; Metazoa; Chordata; Mammalia; Primates; Hominidae
Also listed under: 1 other name
Source: RNAcentral
UAUGUAAUAUGGUCCACAUCU